GAGGUAGCAAUACCUAGUGGCGGACGGGUGAGUAAUGCCUGGGUAACCUGCCUUCUAGUGGGGGAUACCCGCCCGAAAGGGCGGCUAAUACCGCAUGAGCUCAUUGGCUGGAAUGCUGAUGAGGAAAGAUUCAUUGCUAGAAGAGGGGCCCGCGUUCGAUUAGCUAGUUGGUGAGGUAACGGCUCACCAAGGCGACGAUCGAUAGCUGGUCUGAGAGGACGAUCAGCCACACUGGCACUGAAACACGGGCCAGACUCCUACGGGAGGCAGCAGUGGG
This 277-nucleotide unclassified non-coding RNA is filed under the name uncultured bacterium. Its description in RNAcentral is "partial contains 16S ribosomal RNA and 16S-23S ribosomal RNA intergenic spacer region". It matches the Rfam family "Bacterial small subunit ribosomal RNA", at positions 68 to 358 of the family's 1533-position model. The record is from RNAcentral.